AGCUCCAAUAGCGUAUAUUAAAGUUGUUGCAGUUAAAAAGCUCGUAGUUGGAUUUCUGGGAGGGUGCCAAUGUCCGUCGUCGUACGUGUUGCAGCGGCGCCCUUCCAUCCUUCUGUUAACGACUUUGGGCAUUCACUUGCCGGAGUCGGGCUCAGAUAUUUUACCUUGAGAAAAUUAGAGUGUUUCAGGCAGGCUAGGCCGGAAUACAUUAGCAUGGAAUAAUGGAAUAGGACUACGGUCUCUUUGUUGGUUUGAGGGACUGCAGUAAUGAUUAAUAGGGAUAGUUGGGGGCAUUAGUAUUUAAUUGUCAGAGGUGGAAUUCUCGGAUUUGUUAAAGACUAACUUAUGCGAAAGCAUUUGCCAAGGAUGUUUUCA
Molecule: ribosomal RNA, 375 nt
Filed under: uncultured eukaryote
Lineage: Eukaryota
Description: SSU rRNA
Rfam family: Eukaryotic small subunit ribosomal RNA
Source: RNAcentral